Molecule: transfer RNA, 70 nt
Organism: Plasmopara halstedii
Lineage: Eukaryota; Oomycota; Peronosporomycetes; Peronosporales; Peronosporaceae
Rfam family: tRNA
About the family: Transfer RNA (tRNA) molecules are approximately 80 nucleotides in length. Their secondary structure includes four short double-helical elements and three loops (D, anti-codon, and T loops).
Source: Rfam
GUGCUGGCUCGAAUGGUAGAGCAGCCGCUUUCCAAGCGGCAGGUCGUGGGUUUGGUCCCCGCGACAUACA